UAAGGAAUAUUCCGCAAUGGGCGCAAGCCUGACGGAGCGACGCCGCGUGAAGGAGGAAGCCCUUCGGGGUGUAAACUUCUUUUCUGUGGGAUGACACAUCUUCUUUCUUUCCUUACCCGCAAGGGUAGGGAGGGGUAGAGGAAGAUUAGGACAGUACCACAGGAAUAAGCCUCGGCUAACUACGUGCCAGCAGCCGCGGUAAUACGUAGGAGGCGAGCGUUGUCCGGAUUUACUGGGCGUAAAGCGCGCGCAGGCGGCACACUAAGUACGAUGUGAAAUCUCCCUGCUCAACGGGGAGGGAGCAUAGUAAACUGGUGAGCUAGAGGACGGUAGAGGGGGGUGGAAUUGCUGGUGUAGCGGUGAAAUGCGUAGAGAUCAGCAGGAACACCCGUGGCGAAGGCGGCCCCCUGGGCCGAACCUGACGCUGAGGCGCGAAGGCUAGGGGAGCGAACGGGAUUAGAUACCCCGGUAGUCC
RNAcentral lists this ribosomal RNA (475 nucleotides) under uncultured bacterium. RNAcentral describes it as "bacterial SSU rRNA". It matches the Rfam family "Bacterial small subunit ribosomal RNA", at positions 355 to 796 of the family's 1533-position model. The record is from RNAcentral.